UUUUUUUUUUAGUUUUUCAUUUACUUUCUUUUUUUUUAUUAUUAAAAUGAUAAUUAUCAUUCAUAAGAUGAUAAAUAAUCAUCCAUCAAUUGGGGCCAAUCUUGGCCUGAACACAAUUUAAAUGGUCUGGGGACUAUAGCCAUGCGUAAUCCAAUCCUUUUUAACCCCCCUUCAAAAUUGUGAAAUUCUUGUGUCCGCUUUUCAUAAUCACUCCACAAGUUGGCUUACAGUAAAUUAAAACAAAAAUUAAAAAAAAAAA
This 259-nucleotide unclassified non-coding RNA is filed under the name Hevea brasiliensis (rubber tree). Lineage: Eukaryota; Viridiplantae; Streptophyta; Magnoliopsida; Malpighiales; Euphorbiaceae. The record is from RNAcentral.